This 252-nucleotide ribosomal RNA is filed under the name uncultured bacterium. Its description in RNAcentral is "partial 16S ribosomal RNA". It matches the Rfam family "Bacterial small subunit ribosomal RNA", at positions 524 to 775 of the family's 1533-position model. The record is from RNAcentral.
GACGAAGGGGGCUAGCGUUGCUCGGAAUUACUGGGCGUAAAGCGCGUGUAGGCGGCUGUUCAAGUUGGGCGUGAAAGCCUUGGGCUUAACCCAAGAAAUGCGCUCAAUACUGAAUGGCUAGAGGACCGGAGAGGAUAGUGGAAUUCCCAGUGUAGUGGUGAAAUACGUAGAGAUUGGGAAGAACACCAGUGGCGAAGGCGGCUAUCUGGACGGUUUCUGACGCUAAGACGCGAAAGCGUGGGGAGCAAACAG